GCAGAACGCGAAGAACCUUACCAGGGCUUGACAUCUCUGGAACCUGGCAGAAGUGCCGGGGUGCCCGCAAGGGAGCCAGAAGACAGGUGUUGCAUGGCUGUCGUCAGCUCGUGUCGUGAGAUGUUGGGUUAAGUCCCGCAACGAGCGCAACCCCCGUGGUCAGUUACAUGGUUGUCUGACCAGACUGCCGGAGCAACGGAGAGCGGGAUGAUGUCAAGUCAGCAUGGCCCUUACGCCCUGGGCUACACACACGCUACAAUGGCCGAGACAAUGGGUUGCCAAGCAGCAAUGCGGAGCCAAUCCCACAAACUCGGUCUCAGUUCAGAUCGUGGGCUGGAACUCGCCCACGUGAAGACGGAGUUGCUAGUAACCGCCGGUCAGCAAUACGGCGGUGAAUAUGUUCCCGGGUCUUGUACACACCG
Molecule: ribosomal RNA, 422 nt
Filed under: uncultured bacterium
Lineage: Bacteria
Description: bacterial SSU rRNA
Rfam family: Bacterial small subunit ribosomal RNA
Source: RNAcentral